GUCGACUCGUUUAGAACACUAUCACCCUAGAACCCGGUUGGACCAGCGUCGAAACAUUUGUGGAGAUUAUAGAGUCGGUGCUAGGGCAUCGUCUUCCUUCUCAGACCUCAUCAACAUUCGCACAUCUUUAAAUCAAAUAAUAAUAUCUAUCUGCGUCACCAUUCGUACGGUAUUCCCUCUCAAUUCUGAUUCUGAGAUACGAAUACGUUAAAGUUUGAAGAAAUUAGGGUUUCAGGGAUCCAGGUUACGAUUCGAAAGCGAAUUAUCUGUUUAGGUUAAUAAGAGUUGAGAUAUGGAGGAUUCAAAGCAGGAUUCGAAGCAUAAGUCUAGCAAGAAGGAUGAUUAUGUGAAAAAAGAUGAGGAAUUGAAGAGAGGGCAUCGUGAUAAGGAGCGUAACGGUGACCGACGUAGAGACCGGGAGAGGGAGAGAGAUAGAGAGAGGGAAAGAGAAAGGAGUGUUGAUGAGAAACAUAAGGAGAGAGAGAAGCAUAAAGAGAGGCACAGAGAUAAGGAUAAGGAGAAAGAGAGGGAUAGGGAGAGGAAGGAAAGGGAGAGAGAGAAGGAACGGGAGCGCGAACGUGAACGCGAACGUGAACGGUUGAAGGAGAAAGAGAACAGAGAGAAGGAGCGAGAACGGGAGAAGUUGAAAGAGAGAGAAAGGGAGAAGGAGAGGGAGAGGGAAAGAGAGAAGGAAAGGGAAAGGAGGGAGAGAAGAGAGAGGGAAGAACGAGACAGAGAAAAGAUGAGGGAAAAACGUAGAGAAGCUGAACGGGAUCAUAACGGUGGUGACGUAGAUGAUGGCAAGGAUAGAGAUAGAAAAAGGCGUAGGAGGGAAGAUGAUUACAAGGAGAGUAGUAAGGUUUCUAGCAGACGGAGGGAAGGUAGUGUGGAUAUCAGUUCGGGGAAGAAGGUUGAUGAAGAUUCUUCCGAUAAGAAAGUGUCGAGGACCCGUGAAGAAGAUAUGGAGGAAGAACAACGGAAGUUGGAUGAUGAAAUGGAAAAACGGAGGAGGAGAGUGCAGGAAUGGCAGGAAAAACGAAGAAAGAAAGAGGAAUCUGAAAGAGAACAACUUGGAUUAACUAGUGAGACUGCUGGUAAAACAUGGACUUUAGAUGGCGAGUCUGAUGAUGAAGAAGCUGUUCCUGUUGAGAAUGCAGAUGCUGACAUGGAUUUGGAUGGCAAUGCGAAGGACGUCAAUCAAGACGGAGACGUUACGGUUAAUGGAUUAGAUAAUGGUGAUACUACCCAUGCUUCGCAGAACGGUGGUGAUAUGGAAGAAGAUGAAAUUGAUCCUUUAGAUGCUUUUAUGGACACCAUGGUGAUACCAGAAGUUAACAAGUUAAUAAACACUGCGGUUUCUGGUUCAGAUCAUAAGAGUUCCGACUUAGAGAAAGAUGACAAGAAUAAGGAUAACGAACAGCAGAAAAAGAAAAAGACCGGUGGCCGAUCAAUGGGGAGGAUUAUUCCCGGUGAAGAUUCUGAUGAAGAUUAUCCAGAUGUUGAAAAUGAUGAUGAUCCUUUAGAAGAUGAAGACGACGACGAGUUUAUGAAACGAGUGAAAAAAACCAAGGUUGAGAAAUUAUCACUUGUUGAUCACUCAAAGAUCAAAUACAUUGAAUUCCGAAAGAAUUUUUACAUCGAAGUAAAAGAGAUAAAGAAAAUGACUCAAGAAGAGGUUGCUGCUUACAGGAAGGAACUGGAACUGAAAGUACACGGAAAAGACGUACCCAAGCCAAUUAAAACGUGGUACCAGACCGGACUCACGACGAAAAUUUUAGAGACAAUUAGAAAGCUCGGUUACGAUAAACCAAUGUCUAUUCAAGCACAGGCUUUGCCAGUCAUAAUGAGUGGUCGAGAUUGUAUAGGCGUUGCAAAGACCGGUUCUGGUAAAACCCUAGCUUUUGUUUUACCGAUGUUGAGGCAUAUAAUGGAUCAACCAGAACUCGGUUCUGGAGAUGGGCCCAUUGGGCUUAUAAUGGCACCUACCCGAGAGCUUGUUCAGCAGAUUCACAGUGAUAUAAGAAAGUUCACUAAGGUAAUGGGUCUUCGCUGCGUGCCGGUGUAUGGUGGUUCCGGUGUUGCCCAACAAAUCAGUGAGUUGAAGCGAGGCGCGGAAAUUGUUGUUUGUACGCCAGGUAGGAUGAUUGAUAUUCUAUGUACGAGUGCUGGGAAAAUCACGAAUCUGAGAAGGGUUUCGUAUCUGGUUAUGGAUGAAGCUGAUCGUAUGUUUGAUAUGGGUUUUGAGCCACAAAUCACCCGAAUUGUGCAAAAUACCCAACCCAAUCGCCAGACUGUACUUUUUUCUGCCACAUUUCCUCGCCAGGUGGAGGUAUUGGCCCGGAAAGUUCUUAACAAACCCGUGGAGAUACAGGUAGGCGGAAGAAGCGUUGUGAAUAAAGACAUAGCCCAGCUAGUGGAAGUGAGGCCCGAAAACGAAAGGUUUUUUAGACUUUUAGAGUUACUUGGAGAAUGGUAUGAAAAAGGUAAGGUUUUGAUAUUUGUUCAAUCACAGGACAAAUGUGAUGCUUUAUUUAGGGAUUUGCUUAAACACGGAUAUCCGUGUUUAUCGCUUCAUGGGGCUAAAGAUCAGACGGAUCGAGAAUCAACCAUUUCUGAUUUCAAGAGUAACGUAUGCAAUUUAUUGAUUGCAACAAGUAUUGCUGCUAGGGGUUUGGAUGUUAAAGAGCUUGAACUUGUGAUUAAUUAUGAUGUACCAAAUCAUUACGAAGACUAUGUUCACCGUGUUGGCCGUACAGGGAGGGCAGGGAGAAAAGGGUGCGCUAUCACGUUUUUGUCGACUGACGAUGAAAGAUAUGCACCGGAUCUUGUAAAAGCUUUAGAGUUGUCGAAUCAAGUUGUUCCCGAUGAUUUGAAAGCUCUUGCUGAUGGGUUUAUGGCGAAGGUUAAUCAGGGACUUGUGCAAGCUCAUGGUACCGGUUACGGUGGAAGCGGUUUUAAGUUCAAUGAAGAAGAAGAUGAAGUCAGAAAAGCAGCGAAGAAAGCACAGGCCAAAGAAUAUGGAUUUGAAGAAGAUAAAUCGGAUUCAGAAGAUGAUGAUGACGGGGUGCGAAAAGCAGGUGGUGAUAUUGCUCAGCAGGCUGUUCUUGCUCAAGCUGCCGCUCUUGCUGCCGCCAGUCAACAGCCUCCUACUAGUGGGGUACCUAUAUCUCUGCCAGGUAUUCUCGGUAUGGCGGGUGUUGCUGGCGGCAAUGAUGGUGCUGCUAGGGCUGCAGCACUGGCUGCUGCCAUGAACUUGCAGCACAAUCUGGCUCGGAUUCAAGCUGAUUCUUUGCCGGAACAUUAUGAAGCUGAGUUGGAGAUUAACGAUUUCCCGCAAAACGCUAGGUGGAAGGUGACACAUAAAGAAACCCUCGGACCAAUUGCUGAGUGGACUGGGGCUGCUAUUACCACUAGGGGUCAGUAUAUUCAACCCGGCAGGAUCCCGGGACCCGGCGAGAAAAAACUAUAUUUGUUCAUUGAAGGUGCUACCGAACAAUCUGUUAAACGGGCCAAAGCCGAAUUGAAACGUGUUCUAGAAGACAUCACAACACAGGCAUUAUCUCUUCCAAACGCACAGCCAGGGCGUUACUCUGUUGUAUGAGAAUCAGACUCGGCUCGUGCAUACAGGAGGAUCCAGCUUGCACAUGUGUAGAGCAAUUUAUACAUUUGCUUUUAUUGGCUGCCUGCAGAUGGCGAUCACAAACCUUUUUUCCCACUAAGAAAAUGUUGGUUGGGGAAACGACCUAACGGGCUUUUCUUGCUUCUUUGACAGUGUUCUGAAGUUGUCACCUAUUUUCUCACCACAAUCAUGCAUGUGACACAUGAUAUUUUAUCAACAUGCAUUAUAGACUAGAAUAGUUCUUUUUAUUUAUGAUAUAUUGCCAAUUACGGUUGGUAGAUUCAACCACAGUGUUCCUUCAGUAAUGUGGCAACUAUCUAUAGUGUUACAUAGUAGGAUUAUAACUUAAUAGCAUCAAUCAAGCGCAUGAAUGUUGAUGGAUCAGUUAAAUCUAAGGGAUCUGUGUUAUUGAAGAGUAGUUUUCGGCUUUAGGACUAUAUGUGUUAUUCAUCAUAUGUGAGUCGUAUGUUUAAGAAUCGAGGAAAAACAUCUUUAGUUGGUUUGAACUCAUUCAUUGUGAAUAGUAUGUAAUGUUUGUCACUGUGUUUCAUACUUCAAUGGUUUCGCUCGUUUGUGCUGUUAUGGUUUAUUAAAAAAUAUAUAUUAAUUAAUCCUUCCAGCCCCAUGCAAAUUUCUAUAUUUAAGAGAUUAGUUCUGCAUGAUUUACAUUGCUACAUUCUCCUUUAUUGGUAUUUGAUUUUUGUACCAUAACAUUUUCAUCAUUGAUAUUUAAUGCAGUUUUAAAUUGUAUCAUGUGUAAUGUUAAAAAAAGUAAUACUUGGUUCUUUUUACAUGAAUAGCAGCCAAUUUGUUAUUUUAUACUUUCUUAAUACUUCAUUAAUUCUGACAAUUCUAGAAUUUCAGGUUAUAGAUCGUCUUUAUGGAGCUUGUUGCGUAACAUCAAACGCUAUUUCAUUCAAGAACUAUACAUUGUUGGGAGUACAAAUUCACUUGUGAAUUGUGAUGAUACUGCUUUACUCCACCAGCUCCUUCGGUUUGUUUUUAUUUCCUUGUUAUUAGUACUGUUUACUAUUUUGCGAAUCCUACUGGGAGUGUGUUCAACCGUUCUUAUGUAAUACUUUUACAAAACAAAUCUUGGAUCAUACUCUCUGCUGAUACAUUGAGAUGUGAUUUUGCAUGGCCUAUGUAUGUUUAAUCAAUGCUCCUAGCAUCAGAUUUGCAUAAUCUUCAAUAUUAGCGCUAAAUUGUUUCAA
RNA transcript from Helianthus annuus (common sunflower), 4833 nucleotides. It is a transcript of the gene named DEAD-box ATP-dependent RNA helicase 42, with no coding region annotated. NCBI's taxonomy places the organism in Eukaryota, Viridiplantae, Streptophyta, Magnoliopsida, Asterales, Asteraceae. The transcript has 4 exons. The record is from RefSeq and is a predicted model, not a curated record.